UACGGGGGGAGCAAGCGUUGUUCGGAUUUACUGGGCGUAAAGGGCGCGUAGGCGGCCUCCGCAAGUCGACUGUGAAAUCUCCGGGCUUAACCCGGAAAGGUCAGCCGAAACUGCGGGGCUAGAGUGCAGAAGGGGCAACUGGAAUUCUCGGUGUAGCGGUGAAAUGCGUAGAUAUUGGGAAGAACACCUGAGGCGAAGGCGGGUUGCUGGGCCGACACUGACGCUGAGGCGCGAAAGCCAGGGGAGCAAACGGG
Molecule: ribosomal RNA, 254 nt
Filed under: uncultured bacterium
Lineage: Bacteria
Description: partial 16S ribosomal RNA
Rfam family: Bacterial small subunit ribosomal RNA
Source: RNAcentral